Molecule: ribosomal RNA, 480 nt
Filed under: uncultured bacterium
Lineage: Bacteria
Description: partial 16S ribosomal RNA
Rfam family: Bacterial small subunit ribosomal RNA
Source: RNAcentral
GACAAACGCUGGCGGCGUGCCUAAUACAUGCAAGUCGAACGACGAAAGCCUUCGGGCAAGUAAGAGUGGCGCACGGGCGAGGAACACGUAGAUAAUCUGCCCUUCAGUGGGGAAUAACUCUCCGAAAGGAGUGCUAAUACCGCAUAAGACCACAAGCUCUGCGGAGCAAGGGGUUAAAGGAUUUAUUCGCUGAAGGAUGAGUCUGCGUCCGCUUAGCUAGUUGGUGAGGUAAUGGCUUACCAAGGCCAUGAUCGGUAGAUGGUCUGAGAGGAUGAUCAUCCGCACUGGAACUGAGACACGGUCCAGACUCCUACGGGAGGCAGCAGUAGGGAAUAUUGCACAAUGGGGGAAACCCUGAUGCAGCAACGCCGCGUGAGUGAUGAAGGCUCUAGGGUCGUAAAGCUCUGUCGUAUGGGAAGAAAAAAAUGACGGUACCAUACAAGAAAGGACCGGCCAACUUCGUGCCAGCCGCCGCGGUAA